AUCUAAGUACCCCGAGGAAAAGAAAUCAACCGAGAUUCCCCCAGUAGCGGCGAGCGAACGGGGAGGAGCCCAGAGCCUGAAUCAGCAUGUGUGUUAGUGGAAGCGUCUGGAAAGGCGCGCGAUACAGGGUGACAGCCCCGUACACAAAAGCGCAUGUGCUGUGAGCUCGAUGAGUAGGGCGGGACACGUGGUAUCCUGUCUGAAUAUGGGGGGACCAUCCUCCAAGGCUAAAUACUCCUGACUGACCGAUAGUGAACCAGUACCGUGAGGGAAAGGCGAAAAGAACCCCGGCGAGGGGAGUGAAAAAGAACCUGAAACCGUGUACGUACAAGCAGUGGGAGCACAGGUUUACCUGUGUGACUGCGUACCUUUUGUAUAAUGGGUCAGCGACUUAUAUUCUGUAGCAAGGUUAACCGUAUAGGGGAGCCGGAGGGAAACCGAGUCUUAACCGGGCGUUAAGUUGCAGGGUAUAGACCCGAAACCCGGUGAUCUAGCCAUGGGCAGGUUGAAGGUUGGGUAACACUAACUGGAGGACCGAACCGACUAAUGUUGAAAAAUUAGCGGAUGACCUGUGGCUGGGGGUGAAAGGCCAAUCAAACCGGGAGAUAGCUGGUUCUCCCCGAAAGCUAUUUAGGUAGCGCCUCGUGAAUUCAUCUCCGGGGGUAGAGCACUGUUUCGGCUAGGGGGCCAUCCCGGCUUACCAACCCGAUGCAAACUGCGAAUACCGGAGAAUGUUAUCACGGGAGACACACGGCGGGUGCUAACGUCCGUCGUGAAGAGGGAAACAACCCAGACCGCCAGCUAAGGUCCCAAAGUCAUGGUUAAGUGGGAAACGAUGUGGGAAGGCCCAGACAGCCAGGAUGUUGGCUUAGAAGCAGCCAUCAUUUAAAGAAAGCGUAAUAGCUCACUGGUCGAGUCGGCCUGCGCGGAAGAUGUAACGGGGCUAAACCAUGCACCGAAGCUGCGGCAGCGAACGUAUCACCCAAGACAACUUUACGGAGUUGACGAUUGACGGAGCGAAGCGACGUCAAAGCGUUCAUUAAAGUCGAGUUGGCUUAGGGAUACGUUCGUUGGGUAGGGGAGCGUUCUGUAAGCCUGUGAAGGUGGCCUGUGAGGGUUGCUGGAGGUAUCAGAAGUGCGAAUGCUGACAUAAGUAACGAUAAAGCGGGUGAAAAGCCCGCUCGCCGGAAGACCAAGGGUUCCUGUCCAACGUUAAUCGGGGCAGGGUGAGUCGACCCCUAAGGCGAGGCCGAAAGGCGUAGUCGAUGGGAAACGGGUUAAUAUUCCCGUACUUGGUGUUACUGCGAAGGGGGGACGGAGAAGGCUAUGUUGGCCGGGCGACGGUUGUCCCGGUUUAAGCGUGUAGGUGUGUGUUCCAGGUAAAUCCGGUUCACUUUAACACUGAGGCGUGAUGACGAGGCACUACGGUGCUGAAGCAACAAAUGCCCUGCUUCCAGGAAAAGCCUCUAAGCAUCAGGUAACAUCAAAUCGUACCCCAAACCGACACAGGUGGUCAGGUAGAGAAUACCAAGGCGCUUGAGAGAACUCGGGUGAAGGAACUAGGCAAAAUGGUGCCGUAACUUCGGGAGAAGGCACGCUGACACGUAGGUGAAGUGAUUUACUCACGGAGCUGAAGUCAGUCGAAGAUACCAGCUGGCUGCAACUGUUUAUUAAAAACACAGCACUGUGCAAACACGAAAGUGGACGUAUACGGUGUGACGCCUGCCCGGUGCCGGAAGGUUAAUUGAUGGGGUCAGCGCAAGCGAAGCUCCUGAUCGAAGCCCCGGUAAACGGCGGCCGUAACUAUAACGGUCCUAAGGUAGCGAAAUUCCUUGUCGGGUAAGUUCCGACCUGCACGAAUGGCGUAAUGAUGGCCAGGCUGUCUCCACCCGAGACUCAGUGAAAUUGAACUCGCUGUGAAGAUGCAGUGUACCCGCGGCAAGACGGAAAGACCCCGUGAACCUUUACUAUAGCUUGACACUGAACAUUGAGCCUUGAUGUGUAGGAUAGGUGGGAGGCUUUGAAGUGUGGACGCCAGUCUGCAUGGAGCCGACCUUGAAAUACCACCCUUUAAUGUUUGAUGUUCUAACGUGGACCCGUGAUCCGGGUUGCGGACAGUGUCUGGUGGGUAGUUUGACUGGGGCGGUCUCCUCCUAAAGAGUAACGGAGGAGCACGAAGGUUGGCUAAUCCUGGUCGGACAUCAGGAGGUUAGUGCAAUGGCAUAAGCCAGCUUGACUGCGAGCGUGACGGCGCGAGCAGGUGCGAAAGCAGGUCAUAGUGAUCCGGUGGUUCUGAAUGGAAGGGCCAUCGCUCAACGGAUAAAAGGUACUCCGGGGAUAACAGGCUGAUACCGCCCAAGAGUUCAUAUCGACGGCGGUGUUUGGCACCUCGAUGUCGGCUCAUCACAUCCUGGGGCUGAAGUAGGUCCCAAGGGUAUGGCUGUUCGCCAUUUAAAGUGGUACGCGAGCUGGGUUUAGAACGUCGUGAGACAGUUCGGUCCCUAUCUGCCGUGGGCGCUGGAGAACUGAGGGGGGCUGCUCCUAGUACGAGAGGACCGGAGUGGACGCAUCACUGGUGUUCGGGUUGUCAUGCCAAUGGCACUGCCCGGUAGCUAAAUGCGGAAGAGAUAAGUGCUGAAAGCAUCUAAG
RNAcentral lists this ribosomal RNA (2649 nucleotides) under Salmonella enterica. Its description in RNAcentral is "partial 23S ribosomal RNA". It matches the Rfam family "Bacterial large subunit ribosomal RNA", at positions 200 to 2785 of the family's 2925-position model. Lineage: Bacteria; Pseudomonadati; Pseudomonadota; Gammaproteobacteria; Enterobacterales; Enterobacteriaceae. The record is from RNAcentral.